This 440-nucleotide ribosomal RNA is filed under the name uncultured bacterium. RNAcentral's name for it is "partial 16S ribosomal RNA". It matches the Rfam family "Bacterial small subunit ribosomal RNA", at positions 339 to 795 of the family's 1533-position model. The record is from RNAcentral.
CUACGGGGGGCUCCAGUGAGGAAUAUUGCACAAUGGGGGGAACCCUGAUGCAGCAACGCCGCGUGGAGGAUGACGCAUUUCGGUGUGUAAACUCCUUUUAUAUGUCAAGAAAAUGACGGUAGCAUAUGAAUAAGCACCGGCUAACUCCGUGCCAGCAGCCGCGGUAAAUACGGAGGGUGCAAGCGUUACUCGGAAUCACUGGGCGUAAAGGACGCGUAGGCGGGAUAUCAAGUCAGGUGUGAAAUCCUAAAGCUUAACUGUAGAACUGCACUUGAAACUGGUAACAUAGAGUAUGGGAGGGGGAGAUGGAAUUAGUGGUGUAGGGGUAAAAUCCGUAGAUAUCACUAGGAAUACCUAAAGCGAAGGCGAUCUCCUGGAACAUAACUGACGCUAAGGCGUGAAAGCGUGGGGAGCAACCAGGAUUAGAUACCCCUGUAGUC